RNAcentral lists this ribosomal RNA (253 nucleotides) under uncultured bacterium. RNAcentral describes it as "partial 16S ribosomal RNA". It matches the Rfam family "Bacterial small subunit ribosomal RNA", at positions 524 to 776 of the family's 1533-position model. The record is from RNAcentral.
UACAGAGACUGCAAGCGUUAUUCGGAUUCACUGGGCGUAAAGGGUGCGCAGGCGGCCAAGUGUGUUAGGCGUGAAAGCCUGAGGCUUAGCCUCAGAAUUGCACCUAAAACUACAUGGCUAGAGCAUUGGAGAGGGUAGCGGAAUUCACGGUGUAGCAGUGAAAUGCGUAGAUAUCGUGAGGAACACCAGAGGCGAAGGCGGCUACCUGGACAAUUGCUGACGCUCAGGCACGAAAGCGUGGGGAGCAAAAGGG